Molecule: long non-coding RNA, 222 nt
Organism: Pygocentrus nattereri (red-bellied piranha)
Lineage: Eukaryota; Metazoa; Chordata; Actinopteri; Characiformes; Serrasalmidae
Exons: 3
Source: RefSeq, a predicted model, not a curated record
GGGAAACAGCCAGUUACCUGCUGCUGUGCGGCCAAUGAACUGAACCUCACGUGGCGCAGCGUUUCCUCAAGGAUAACAGGUUUCACCCCUUCCGGCUGACUGCCACCAUUUUUGAGAAGGGAGAAAAUUAGUCAGCUAAAGCCCACCUAGAACACAUGGACAGCAACAAGCCCCACCGCUGCUGGCAUCAGCAUGUAAACACUGACUCAUACAGACGCAGAC